UUGAGACCAGACAAACAAUCAACAGUAGCAGGGGUGGAACCCACACGUAUUUUGUAAUGAACACCGUAUGUUCUGGCCUGCAGGGAAGAGCAUGAGAUGGUCCAAAAGCAGCACAAGGAGAGACUGAAACAUGAAGAAAGACUGCAGGAGUUGAGAGAGGAGGAAGAAAGGAGGCAACAGGAGAGCAGACUGCUACAGCUGUUGGAAGAAACUAAAGGAACCUUUGAGGCCCAAAGGGUUUACCUGGAAGAACAACUAACACAGGAGAAACAGCUGCGCUAUGAAAUGCAGAAGGUGGCAGAGGCCCAGAUAAGUGGGCUGAAACAUGAAAUCAAAAAGCUCCAGAAGCAGCAAAGGCUUUCCAUGGAUGAUGCAUGCUCUGUGGGAAGUUACAAGUGGGAUGUCCAGAAACAUAGAAAUUCGUGGGAAAACAGCAAAAACGGUGACGUUGGAUCUGCUUGAACAGAUAAUGCAGGCUGCAAAUGCAAUUGUUAAUGGACAUAAUGCAGCCGAGGAAGGCUCUCUGAAUGCAGCUACCAAAGAACAGCUUUGGAACUACAGCCAGGAUUGCAAGACUGCAGAGAUUGAAGUAUUUGGUCACCAGAUAAGCAGAGAAGAUAUAGAAAAGAUUCCAGACCCCAGAAGAAAGGAACUGAAACCGAAGUUAUCUGGCACUAUCGGAAGAAAUAGAGGCCCGUCACAAAGCCCAGCUUGCAGUAGGAAAAGGGAUGUUACCAGACUCCGUCAUCUAUAUGUGAUACAAGUACUUGAAAUUUAA
RNAcentral lists this long non-coding RNA (778 nucleotides) under Crocodylus porosus (Australian saltwater crocodile). RNAcentral's name for it is "lncRNA (ENSCPRG00005013141.1)". The record is from RNAcentral. Lineage: Eukaryota; Metazoa; Chordata; Crocodylia; Crocodylidae.